This 326-nucleotide long non-coding RNA is filed under the name Volvox carteri. RNAcentral's name for it is "long non-coding RNA (VCAR_LNC000776)". The record is from RNAcentral. Lineage: Eukaryota; Viridiplantae; Chlorophyta; Chlorophyceae; Chlamydomonadales; Volvocaceae.
AAUUUCCUUCGGUCAUCAUGAUGAAGGUGAUGUAUAGCUUGGGGGUUGUGUCCACCGCAUUAUGAGUCCAGCAUGGGGUCCAGCAGUUUGAGUCCAGCACGAGCUUUGCAACGAAGCCCAAGUUUAAGUGUUGUCCAGGAAGGAUUCAUAGUCCGCGGCUUUUCUGGAAUGGAAAGUGCGAGACUGAAUGUGAACUUGGCUCGCAUGCUUCAUACACCUCCUUUCGAUUUUCGGUUGGUAACUCUUGCACCUGAAUGCCAUUAUCCGCAAACAAGUGGAGGUUGCAUCUGGUUGCUAUAUUCGGUCUGUUUGUCGAUAUUGGGGGC